GGUGGACUGGCUGAGUGGUCGAAAGCGACGGUCUUGAAAACCGUUGAACCGAAAGGUUCCUGGGGUUCGAAUCCCUAGUCCAUCGCCA
RNAcentral lists this transfer RNA (88 nucleotides) under Methylococcaceae bacterium. Its description in RNAcentral is "tRNA-Ser". It matches the Rfam family "tRNA". From Rfam's summary of the family: Transfer RNA (tRNA) molecules are approximately 80 nucleotides in length. Their secondary structure includes four short double-helical elements and three loops (D, anti-codon, and T loops). Lineage: Bacteria; Pseudomonadati; Pseudomonadota; Gammaproteobacteria; Methylococcales; Methylococcaceae. RNAcentral also lists the same sequence under 1 other name. The record is from RNAcentral.